RNAcentral lists this unclassified non-coding RNA (325 nucleotides) under Hevea brasiliensis (rubber tree). The record is from RNAcentral. Lineage: Eukaryota; Viridiplantae; Streptophyta; Magnoliopsida; Malpighiales; Euphorbiaceae.
AGGUAGGUUCUGAAAGUUACAUGAACAGUGGAGAAAAUGAAGUAGGAGUGGCUGCUAACACAGCAUUCCAACGUGAAUUCCGUGGGAGGUUUUCAGGCACUGCUGCAGUUAAUACGACUCAAGGAGUUGGCUCUGGCGACCGAAUCCCUACAUCUACAGCAGGUCAUCAUGGCAGAAGAGAUAAGAAACCAAGGUCUGGCAGGAGACCCAAGUACUGAAGAGAAAAGAGAGGUGUAAGGCAAAGGGGGAGAUGGGUUUUGGGGUAGUCUUGUUUAUAGGGGACUUAAUUGAGCUAUCAGAUUCAUGAUCAGAUGUAGAAAAGGCC